GACUAUUGUUGGUUAGAAACUCUCAGUUCUCACAUGCACAGCAAGAAGAAAAAGGGAGAAAGAAGAAGAAAAAGAAGAAGAAGAGAGGGAAUAGAGGGAGGAAAUUACUUACCUGAAACACACCAUAUAUCGCCUCUGCCCUCAGAUGUUGAGGUCACAUCCUUCGUGGCAUACUAUUUUUUAGAUGAUGCAAACCGGUGCUAAGUCAGGACUGGAUUUUAGCAACGGUUGUGAAACUUAUGUCAGCGAAAUGUCAAGAUUUGAUGGGCUUCACUAUUAUUCCAUUCUUCCUUCUUGAUGUAUAUAUUUAUGGAUGUGUAGUGAGUAUAUAGCCUGUAGUUGUUUCCGACAUGUAAUUUUUAUAAUGUAAUUUAUCACUUUAGUACAUUAUCAGUGAUAUUUAUGAGAUUUUAUUACCA
Molecule: long non-coding RNA, 419 nt
Organism: Macadamia integrifolia
Lineage: Eukaryota; Viridiplantae; Streptophyta; Magnoliopsida; Proteales; Proteaceae
Exons: 2
Source: RefSeq, a predicted model, not a curated record